CAAAAUCCGGGAUCACUUACGCCGAGCACCGAGACGAGUCCUAUGAGGACGAAGUGACUGACACCACGCUUCCAGGAAAAGCCACUAAGCUUCAGCUUAAGAAAAACCGUACCGCAAACCGACACAGGUAGGCAGGGUGAGAAUCCCAAGGCGCUUGAGAGAACUCGGGUGAAGGAACUAGGCAAAAUGGCACCGUAACUUCGGGAGAAGGUGCGCCCUUUGGUGUGGUCACGUGCGUGACUGAGCAUCGAAGGGUCGCAGUAACCUGGCCGCUGCGACUGUUUAUCAAAAACACAGCACUCUGCAAACACGAAAGUGGACGUAUAGGGUGUGACGCCUGCCCGGUGCUGGAAGGUUAAUUGAUGGGGUCAGCCGCAAGGCGAAGCUCUUGAUCGAAGCCCCAGUAAACGGCGGCCGUAACAAUAACGGUCCUAAGGUAGCGAAAUUCCUUGUCGGGUAAGUUCCGACCUGCACGAAUGGCGUAACGACAGCGGCGCUGUCUCCACCCGAGACUCAGUGAAAUUGAAAUCGCUGUGAAGAUGCAGCGUUCCCGCGGCAAGACGGAAAGACCCCGUGAACCUUUACUAUAGCUUUACACUGAACGUUGAGUUCUUCUGUGUAGGAUAGGUGGGAGGCUAUGAAACCAGGACGCUAGUUCUGGUGGAGCCAUCCUUGAAAUACCACCCUGAAGUGCUUGACGUUCUAACCUAGGCCCGUAAUCCGGGUCAGGGACCGUGUAUGGUGGGUAGUUUGACUGGGGCGGUCUCCUCCCAAAGAGUAACGGAGGAGCACGAAGGUACGCUCAGCGCGGUCGGACAUCGCGCACUGUGUGCAAAGGCAUAAGCGUGCUUGACUGCGAGAUCGACGGAUCAAGCAGGUACGAAAGUAGGUCUUAGUGAUCCGGUGGUUCUGUAUGGAAGGGCCAUCGCUCAACGGAUAAAAGGUACUCCGGGGAUAACAGGCUGAUACCGCCCAAGAGUUCAUAUCGACGGCGGUGUUUGGCACCUCGAUGUCGGCUCAUCACAUCCUGGGGCUGUAGCCGGUCCCAAGGGUAUGGCUGUUCGCCAUUUAAAGUGGUACGCGAGCUGGGUUCAGAACGUCGUGAGACAGUUCGGUCCCUAUCUGUCGUGGGCGUUGGAGAUUUGAGGGGGGCUGCUCCUAGUACGAGAGGACCGGAGUGGACGUUCCGCUGGUGUUCGGGUUGUCAUGCCCAUGGCAUUGCCCGGUAGCUACGAACGGAAGUGAUAACCGCUGAAAGCAUCUAAGCGGGAAGCACGCCCCAAGAUGAGAUCUCCCGAGAGCUUGACUCUCCUAAAGGCACCAUCAAGACUAGGUGGUUGAUAGGUCAGGUGUGGAAGCGCAGCAAUGCGUUGAGCUAACUGAUACUAAUGAGCCGUGAGGCUUGACCG
RNAcentral lists this ribosomal RNA (1409 nucleotides) under metagenome. Its description in RNAcentral is "bacterial LSU rRNA". It matches the Rfam family "Bacterial large subunit ribosomal RNA", at positions 1536 to 2925 of the family's 2925-position model. The record is from RNAcentral.